Molecule: long non-coding RNA, 1001 nt
Organism: Elgaria multicarinata webbii
Lineage: Eukaryota; Metazoa; Chordata; Lepidosauria; Squamata; Anguidae
Exons: 5
Source: RefSeq, a predicted model, not a curated record
UGAGGGAGCGCGGGCGGCCAUUUUGUGGCGCUGGGUAGGGGCGCGGAUGGGGGAGGGGAGGAGAGAGGAAGGCUUCGCUGAGAGACGAUGAAGACGGGCAGAGGCUUCCCUUCCCUCACGCGCACACACGGCGCAAGAUGGCCGGGGAGGCAGCAGCUCCGGUGGGCUGCUGCUGCUGCUGCUGCUGCUGCUGCGCUUCCUCCUCGGGCGCGGCUCUCCCUCCGAGCUGCCUCGGCCCGAGGCGGCCAAUGGCUCGCGGGGGCUCCGGCCGGGCCCAGGCUCCUGAGGGGUGGUGGUCUGUCUCGCCUCAGACACAGAGCCGGAGGCGGAACGGCCACAGCGGGGCUCGCCCGCGCCUCCUGCCUCCGCGGUGGGGCGGCCGGGAGAACCGCCGCCGCCGCGACCCCGGCUCGGCGCGCCUGCCUGACCCGCGUCCGUUGAGGAUGGUAUUCUAUGAAUGUUGACCACUUCCAUAAGUAAUGGCGUUCAAGAACUGUACAGAAUUAUUUUUUGUUAAGGUUUCUCUCCGGUCUGAUCGCGUGGAAGAUUCAUGUGGAGAUAGAAGAGAACAUGCUAACUGUUUCAGAAGUUUACAUAUACAAAACUGAAGACUAUCAUAAUGAAAGUCCAGACAAAGGAAGAAUCUCAAAGGGAGACCACACGAGUUCCAAAUCAAGAUGGCAGUUCCACUGAUUGAGAGGUUGAGGAAAUGAACUAAUGCAUGAUUGCUGAGUUUGUCCGUCCAAGACAGGGACACUUUAGCAUGGACUACGGUGUUUACUAAACCAGAGAAGAUUUGGGCUAAUGACCAUCUGAUAAAUGUUUUUUUCUCAUUAAAUGAUUCCAAUCUCUUGUAUGAGAACUCAUUUGGAAGUGGAAAGAUGGUAUGAGUUGACUGAAUUUUUAAACCAGGAAUGUAUUCAUAUGUUUGUCCCUGUUUUGCUUGACAGAAGUGCAAUGCUAUUUUAAAUGGUUAAAUAAAAGUGUUUUUUACAUUUUUA